RNAcentral lists this small RNA (549 nucleotides) under Pan troglodytes (chimpanzee). Its description in RNAcentral is "retained intron". The record is from RNAcentral. Lineage: Eukaryota; Metazoa; Chordata; Mammalia; Primates; Hominidae.
CAAUCAGAUAGACUUCAUCAUCUGCCUGGGGGGAGACGGGACGCUGCUGUACGCUUCCUCGCUUUUCCAGGGCAGCGUCCCUCCGGUCAUGGCCUUCCACCUGGGCUCCCUGGGCUUCCUGACCCCAUUCAGCUUUGAGAACUUUCAGUCCCAAGUUACUCAGGUGAUAGAGGGGAACGCAGCUGUUGUUCUCCGGAGUCGGCUGAAGGUCAGGGUGGUGAAGGAGCUCCGGGGGAAGAAGACAGCCGUGCACAACGGGCUGGGUGAGAAUGGCUCGCAGGCUGCAGGCCUGGACAUGGAUGUCGGGAAGCAGACCAUGCAAUACCAGGUCCUGAAUGAGGUGGUGAUUGACAGAGGCCCCUCCUCCUACCUGUCCAACGUGGAUGUCUACCUGGACGGACACCUCAUCACCACGGUGCAGGGCGACGGUAAGGCCCGCAGCGCUGUCCUGGGGCCCUGAGCGUCCCUCGGGCGGGAGUGACGCCUGCGCCUGUCCCUGUCAGGAGUGAUCGUGUCCACCCCGACGGGCAGCACGGCGUAUGCGGCCGC